RNAcentral lists this ribosomal RNA (468 nucleotides) under uncultured bacterium. RNAcentral's name for it is "partial 16S ribosomal RNA". It matches the Rfam family "Bacterial small subunit ribosomal RNA", at positions 28 to 507 of the family's 1533-position model. The record is from RNAcentral.
GACGAACGCUGGCGGCGUGCUUAACACAUGCAAGUCGAACGGAAAGGCCCUGCUUUUGUUGGGUGCUCGAGUGGCGCACGGGUGAGUAACACGUGAGUAACCUGCCCUUUACUUUGGGAUAACUUCAGGAAACUUGGGCUAAUACCUGAUAUGAGCUCCUGCUGCAUGGUGGGGUUUGGAAAGUUUCGGCGGUUGGGGAUGGACUCGCGGCUUAUCAGCUUGUUGGUGGGGUAGUGGCUUACCAAGGCUUUGACGGGUAGCCGGCCUGAGAGGGUGACCGGCCACAUUGGGCCUGAGAUACGGCCCAGAAUCCUACGGGAGGCAGCAGUGGGGAAUAUUGCACAAUGGGCGGAAGCCUGAUGCAGCAACGCCGCGUGCGGGAUGACGGCCUUCGGGUUGUAAACCGCUUUCGCCUGUGACGAAGCGUGAGUGACGGUAAUGGGUAAAGAAGCACCGGCUAACUACGUG